GGGAUUGUGGCUCAGAGGUAGAGCACUCGCCUACCAAGCAUGAGGCAUUAGGUUCAAUCCUCAAUACCA
Molecule: transfer RNA, 69 nt
Filed under: Marmota marmota marmota (Alpine marmot)
Lineage: Eukaryota; Metazoa; Chordata; Mammalia; Rodentia; Sciuridae
Also listed under: 1 other name
Rfam family: tRNA
About the family: Transfer RNA (tRNA) molecules are approximately 80 nucleotides in length. Their secondary structure includes four short double-helical elements and three loops (D, anti-codon, and T loops). Further hydrogen bonds mediate the characteristic L-shaped molecular structure. tRNAs have two regions of fundamental functional importance: the anti-codon, which is responsible for specific mRNA codon recognition, and the 3' end, to which the tRNAs corresponding amino acid is attached (by aminoacyl-tRNA synthetases). tRNAs cope with the degeneracy of the genetic code in two manners: having more than one tRNA (with a specific anti-codon) for a particular amino acid; and 'wobble' base-pairing, i.e. permitting non-standard base-pairing at the 3rd anti-codon position.
Source: Rfam by way of RNAcentral